UACAGAGACUGCAAGCGUUAUUCGGAUUCACUGGGCGUAAAGGGUGCGCAGGCGGUUGGGUGUGUCAGAUGUGAAAUCCCGAGGCUUAACCUCGGAACUGCGUCUGAAACUACUCGACUAGAGUACUGGAGAGGGAAACGGAAUUCACGGUGUAGCAGUGAAAUGCGUAGAUAUCGUGAGGAACACCAGAGGCGAAGGCGGUUACCUGGACAGUUACUGACGCUCAGGCACGAAAGCGUGGGGAGCAAAAGGG
RNAcentral lists this ribosomal RNA (253 nucleotides) under uncultured bacterium. Its description in RNAcentral is "partial 16S ribosomal RNA". It matches the Rfam family "Bacterial small subunit ribosomal RNA", at positions 524 to 776 of the family's 1533-position model. The record is from RNAcentral.